ACAGGGGGCUAUAAAAGAUGUAACAGAUGCAAACUGUAACACAAGGGCCAUUAACCCUUUCUCUGCCGGGCACACUCAGUCCCCACGCCCCACACCUAUUGUCUCCUGUGCUAGAAGCUUUGCAGAAAACCUGGAAAGUGAGUAUCAGUUUCCACACAUUUGCUGAGAGGGGUGAAGGGAGGGGGGCAGAGAGAAGGGGAAGUGGAUAUUUUAGAAAGCACCUUAAAUUUACCUAGGCAUACAUAGUAGGAGACUUUUAAGUUUGACAUAUUUUAUCAUUUCUUUCCUUGUCCUAUUGAUUUGAAAUUGUUAGGGGAAAUCCUGAAAUAAAGAAAUGGUCACACAAGUGUCUGGGAUGAAACAGCUGGCCUGUCUAUAUUCAUCCUGAGACACACGACUGCAUAUAAAUACAUGUUUAAUAAAGUAAGUUGCUAGUUUUAUGGGCAUGUGUGUGUGUGAGAGAGAGAGACAGGGCAUUUGUGCUGUAAACUUUAUCUUUGCCUGUUACUCCUAAGUCUGGAGUUAGUAAUCUUGCCUUCAUCAUUACAGGGGGAGCAUGUAAAAUAUAUCAGUAGGUGGGAGAUAAACACAUUCAUGUUAGCCGGGCUCAUCACUGUUCCUGGGAACUCCUGCUAUCUCUCUCUCGACUUUUCAGUGCCAAAGUAUGGAAUGGGAUAUAUGUGUGUAUGUGUCUUCUAUUAAAUCCAUGUCUAUAUUACUUUGCCACUAAAAAUACAAUUUUAAAAGUUAUCCUAAUUUAAAACCCUGAUAUCCUGACAGCAGUUUUCUUCCCAGCUGUAGUGCCCCCCCCUCCACUUUGGUAAACGACUCAAGUUCCAUGAGGACUUUCACUUCUUUAUUUAUAAUCACAGAAGUGAGGUGUUACUUCACACACAUACACACACAAAGAAUGAAAUAAAGAAAUGAAACUCGCUAAGCAGACAAAAACAGACAACUUUCUGCUUAGAAAACAGCCUUCUCGGUGGGAGAGGAUGAACUGCCAUGUCUAAGAGAAAGACUUGCCCCCGAAUUUGUAGGUCUGUAACUGACCAAGUUUUGUAAUUAUUAACAGGUAUUUGCCAAGUCCUAAUUGCUGAAUAUAAUGAAUUGGAACUAGAUGCGAAAAUAGAGCAGGACCUCUCCCCUUGAUGAGUUUUUAUUCCAGCCAUAUAAUUCUCAAUAAAACUUUUCCUGGGCUGGAUAGCAAAGGACACCUUUGGUUACCUGAAUGAACAGGUACAGGGGAAAUUAUUUGGGGGAGGGAAAAAGGAGAGAAAAGCAAGGAGAGAGAGUGUGAGUGUAAGAGAAAGCGAAGAAGCCACUCUUGAGAAAAGCUUGCCAUAAAGGAGCUAAACCCACCUGAAAUUCCUACCCACGGACACCCCUUCUCACUUCAGACUCACAUCCCCACUCAAAAUGAGAAAAUUAGAAAAGGAGGAUGGAGGACGAGCACACCAAAAAGGGAUAAAAAGAGAGAAAAGGGGAGGAAAAAAAACCUACCUGCGAAGUCUUGUUUGUAGUUUUGGCCAGAAAUGGUGAGAAGAAAAAGCAUGAAGAAGCCGCGAAGUGUGGGGGAGAAAAAGGUGGAAGCGAAGAAACAGCUCCCGGAGCAAACUGUACAAAAACCUCGCCAAGAGUGUCGGGAGGCAGGACCGUUAUUCCUGCAGAGCAGGAGAGAGACGAGAGACCCUGAAACACGCGCCACCUAUCUUUGUGGGGAGGGAUAAUUGAAGCGCCCUGAGCGUGAGCAUCAUGUGAAAACGUGAUCGCCAAGUUUCUCUCUGGGAAAGGAUCUGGGAUAGAUUAUACCUUGAAGUCUCCGCAAACCUAAAUCCUACAGAGUACAGGGCGGAAAACGGUGCACACCAUUCACAGAACUGGAGAACUCCAAGGGGCGAAAGUUAAAGGGAAAGAUCCCGGGUCCUCAAUCCAGAUAGUCUCUUCUUAUACAGAUAUCUCUAAUGACCAGAUUUGAGAUGCACAUCAAAUUGUGUAGGUAUCUCAGUACAGCUUCUGGAACAAAGUUCUCUGCCCUUUCUCUUAUUGUUAUUUUUUUCUUUUUAGGUACCAGAGCCAGAAAAAAAAAUGCUGCAUGGGAGCUGCAUCUUAGGGCAUGUGUAUUAGGGUGUGUGCAUGAUGAAUUUCUGGACUGGAUCCCAAUAUUAAAAAGUAGUUUGGCAUUUUAAUAAAGGGUCUCUAAGUAAAUUAAAAUAGAACACUCGGUUGGCCGAUCUCUGAAUCUCUCUACACCUCGGGGAGACCUCACUACAAAGUAAGGGAGAGUGUGUAGGGAGGCAGGAGGAGAAACGAGAAAGGCCAUAGAGAAACUUAGCAGGGAAGGGAGAGCAUGAUAUUAAACGGCAUGGGGUCUAAGUUUUGGAGUAUAUAUUUUUUGAUAUUACAAUUAAAGUAAGAUUAAAAAGAAAAGACUCCACCUUUGCUCUGAAGGGAUUGGUUAUGCAAAUAUGGAAGGGAUUUCCUGGAGAAUACAGCUUUCUACUGUAUGGUUAAUUAAAUAAUCACUCAAAAGCUUCCAACGUGACGCUUCUGUCGUAAUCCAAUCAGGUUACAUAGGUCCUAAACAAGAAAGAUAUUUUCCACAUCUGGAAGUCAGCAAUUUAGCAAGUACUGCACAUUAUUAACCAAUUCAGAGCCCACUUCCCAGGGGAAUUUUUUUGAAGUUUAAGUGUUCUUAACCAAUGCUCUGCUGUUUUGUUAAUCAAAAAGCUGGUUUACACUGCACAUAAUUGGAACUAAUAUAGAAGUAAAUAAAGACAGCCAAAUUUGAGGAUGCUGAGCACAGGCAUUUAUCGGAAAAGGAAGAAAUCUCCUAUCCUCGGAUGGUUCAGGCUCAAUUUCUUAAAUAACUGUGAGACUUUUUUUUUUUUCCUAAAGAGUGAAAGUGCUUGAGAACCUCAGAGCACAAAUAAACUUCUAGCCUCACAGCAUUUAGGAUUCUUCGGAAAGGUAAAGGUGGAGGUGUUAAGAGGACCAGAGAGCUGCCUCACACCAAUUUUUAAGCUUUAAUAUUGUUAAAUAUGUUACACCCUCCUGUUUCCAGUCUGAUGAAAUCUGAAACAAAUAAUACCCUGAUCCAACACUAUAUUAAGAUAAACUGCUUUGAACUGUGCUUUGAAUGUGUGCCUAAAGCAAGACUUUGAAUGCAAGAGUCACUGGCAAUUGCACUCAAAGGAGGGACAAGCCACCACAUGGGUUGCCACAUCCACACUCCCAGAGAAAGCUUCACAUGUGAGAUAAAUGCACUCAAAGAUUCCUCACAAGUAGCUCUUUGGAGCUUCAGAUGUGAAAUGGAUCAUUCCUCAAUCUGUAAUAGACCCUUCUGUGAAGCUCUUCAAUCAAACCAGAGAAUUCAAGAGUUUCCAACACCUAAGAGUGGUAUUUGGCAAAUGGUGGGCCAAAGGAAUAAAGAAGGCAUGCAAAACUCUUGACAGAAGACAUUCAGAAAUUGAUUUGAUAUCAGAUACAAGGAGAAAAUAUGCCAGUAAGAAAAUGCAUUUUUCAAGAUUAAAUUCGGCAUUUGUUACUUAAUAGCAUUUGUCAUAUUCCAAUUUUUCAUAUGUAGUAAAUUCAUUUCAAAUCAUUUCGCUCUUCCAAGUGCCUUUGUGUAUUGUAUUUCUUUUUUCACAUCCUUUUGGAUAACAUUUGAGA
RNAcentral lists this long non-coding RNA (3669 nucleotides) under Homo sapiens (human). Its description in RNAcentral is "HSALNT0040813". The stretch from base 9 to 136 matches the Rfam family "ZEB2 antisense RNA 1 conserved region 1". Lineage: Eukaryota; Metazoa; Chordata; Mammalia; Primates; Hominidae. The record is from RNAcentral.